GACGAACGCUGGCGGCGUGCUUAACACAUGCAAGUCGAACGGAAAGGCCCUGCUUUUGUGGGGUGCUCGAGUGGCGAACGGGUGAGUAACACGUGAGUAACCUGCCCUUGACUUUGGGAUAACUUCAGGAAACUGGGGCUAAUACCGGCGAGGAGCUCCUGCUGCAUGGUGGGGGUUGGAAAGUUUCGGCGGUUGGGGAUGGACUCGCGGCUUAUCAGCUUGUUGGUGGGGUAGUGGCUUACCCAGGCUUUGACUGGUAGCCGGCCUGGGAGGGUGAACGGCCACAUUGGGACUGAGAUACGGACCAGACUGCUACGGGAGGCAGCAGUGGGGAAUAUUAUCCAGUGGGCGGAAGCCUGAUGCAGCAAUGCUGCGUGCGGGAUGACGGCCUUGUUGUUGUAAACCGCUGUCGGUUGUGACGAUGCUUUAGUGACGUUACUGGGUGAAGAAGCACCGGCUAACUACGUG
Molecule: ribosomal RNA, 468 nt
Filed under: uncultured bacterium
Lineage: Bacteria
Description: partial 16S ribosomal RNA
Rfam family: Bacterial small subunit ribosomal RNA
Source: RNAcentral